This is a long non-coding RNA of Oryzias melastigma (Indian medaka), 1895 nucleotides long. RefSeq lists it as uncharacterized. Lineage: Eukaryota; Metazoa; Chordata; Actinopteri; Beloniformes; Adrianichthyidae. The transcript has 3 exons. The record is from RefSeq and is a predicted model, not a curated record.
AAUGAUGCAAAUUUAUGAUGGCCACACAUAAUAGUUGCAGCAAGGAUGUUUGCUGCUUGUUGGCCGCACAUGUUUUAGCUGCACCCAAGAUUAAAUGUAGUUGUUGUAAUAAGAGGUAUUUGUUGUUUUUCUGGGUAUUUUAAGGGGUAAUUGUAAAAAUAGGAACGUUUUUAAUAGGAACAUAUUUUUGAUGGUUUCAAAUGAUUUUUCUCCUUGUUUGCCUUUAUUAUCCUGUAGGGAUCAGACACUGUGUUUCCUUUCUAUUUAUCGUUAUGCCUUACUUUCUGUGUAUCUUUUGUUCCGGAACUUUUUUCAAAUUUUGUAUUUCGAGUGUUUCAGGUCUAAUGAUCGGGGUAAAGUCACAUGUCCAUGCUGAUUGUUCCAAACUGCCUUCAUCUUUGAAUGUUAGAGACGUGGAAAUGUGUUUUUUUUUUUUUUGCUGAGGAACAGCAAAGGGGAGCUACGUCAGUAAAUAACAGUUAUUAGUUUUUUUGUGAGAGUUAUUGCCAAUCUCUUACUGUAUCUCUGUUUUUAGUGAUUUUGCAAACAUAGAAAUGUAAGUGCGUUAACUGGUCAGAAAAGAUCUUCUGCAGAUCUAUCAUCACCGUCAUGGAAAGCUAGCAUUAGCAUCAGCGUGAAUGAAGACAAAAAUCUGAAUUACCUUCAUAAUCAAAGGAUUUUGGGGAAGCAGCUCCAGGAGGAAUACUAACAUUUGAUCUAAGAAGGAAAACAAUACAACCAGCCAAGAAGACAACAAUCAUAUGAAAGGUGCAUUUUGGACUCAUCCGAAGAUUAACAGGCGAUUCAUUUUUACCCUUUUAAUUGUAUCUGGGUACAUUUUGGGGUGGAAAUCCAACCAGGUCCUUGCUUGACCUCUGCAAUUCCAUGUGAUUUGCCUCUUUCAAUUUUGGGGAUUGUAAGGUUUACUUCCUUACCACCACUUUUCCCUUUAUGUUCAAUUAGUUUGGAAUUGUGUAUGAAUUGUCAGUUUGAAUUAUUUCCUGAUUUGCUAAAUGUUGGUCUGUGGAUUCAUGACCUCCAGCUGGUGAGACGACCGUCUGCGCGCCACAUUGUGGAUUCAUCAGAAGAUGAACAGGUACUUUAGUUGCAACUUCAUAAGAAUUCUUUAUAAUUUUACUCUGCUCAUUGUUUCAGACUUUCAAACUUACAGAGAUACAGACACAAAAGGCCCUGCUGGAACCUACAUAGAAACUAAUUUACAAGACAUCGUUUGGCAUUGCAGCCAAGCUAUGACCGAUUGUCCAUGAACGGGGCACUUAAUGAGGGAUACCCCUGUUACAAAAGAGGGAGCGGUCAGAGAAAAAGGUUUAACUGACUCUAACACACGAUGUGCCAUUCAUUGCCACUUUGCACAUUUUUCCUUGAUCAACUUGCAGUUUAGUUCGUUUGUCCACAAGAAUUGCCUUCCAACAAUCACCUAUUAAAGUAGCGCACCCCUCACAACAAGGUCUAGUGUUUUCAUCUUUACAGUUUUUGUUAUUUCUUGGACAACAACAAUGUAUACAUGCAAACAUAUUAGAUAUUUAUGGAUUCUGGCUCUUUUCACACAGUGUCUGCUACCUUCAAGGGAUUGUAGCAGGAUGAAAUGGGCUGCACCUGCUACACAGGUAUUGGCAACUCUUUUGAUUGCCCAAAGGGUGUGGUGCAGCUUAUAAAAAGCAGAGUUCCUGUGUGCCCGAGGGUGCACUCUAAAGAGGGGACGCUACACUGUGCUACAAGUUCCAGGCCCAGUCAGUGGGGCACCUGAAACCUGGGGUAUGGACCUGUGGGCAGUAGCGGUUUUAGGCACGGGCAAUACGAGCAGCUGCCCGGGGAGUAAUUGUGGAACUGCCACUGAUUCCAGGGUCCUGGAGAGGAGAGUCUGUCCAAUAGUC